GUUGACAAAAAUGAACUAUUAUUAAUGAUAAUCAGUUUACAUGAUCAAAAAGUGUCAACAAUAAUCAAAAUCUAAUUGGUGAGAACCAAGAAAUAAGAGAAGUCGAUGUGUUUGAAAGAGCUUGAUGUCAAGUCGAUGUAUCUGGGUGUCCAUGUCCUCUUCCUUCGUCUUCCUCUCUUUUUAUCCUUGCAUUCGUUCCGAUAUCCACGUAGUUGCCGAUUCUUUAGGAUUUCCUUGACUCAGUUCGAAAUCGAACACGAGGCUUAUCAUCAAGCUCGACGUCUAACUCUUUAUCUCUGCCCACUCACUUGUUUCCGAACCCAAUUAUCCGAGCCCAACUUCGAUGAUGGAUCAUGGUCCAACAAUCUUAUAAGUUUCCACUGAAACUACUAAAACCCCAAAUUUUCAAGAACUACAUCUGUUUUCUAGAUGGUAGAGUGAAGGAAAGAUAUGAAAGGAGUGCAGGGAAACAUACUCCUUCAGUUUACGGAAUCCUUGAAGCACAUUGAAGACCGUUUUUGUAUAUCUGAGCCCUAGCACAUCUGUAUUAUGUUUCUGAAGUUUCACCUGAAAGAAGAAACAACCCCCACAAAGAAUCAACGGUGGAAACACAAGAAGCUAAUCUAGUGAUAAAACUAUGGAGAAUGGUUUAAACUAAAACAAUAACUGGUUUUUCUUCCUACCAAUGCAUCCGUAACCAGACAAAACCACAUGAGU
Molecule: long non-coding RNA, 717 nt
Filed under: Brassica napus (rape)
Lineage: Eukaryota; Viridiplantae; Streptophyta; Magnoliopsida; Brassicales; Brassicaceae
Description: long non-coding RNA (BNAP_LNC015189)
Source: RNAcentral